Long non-coding RNA from Cervus elaphus (red deer), 702 nucleotides. RefSeq lists it as uncharacterized. The record is from RefSeq and is a predicted model, not a curated record. NCBI's taxonomy places the organism in Eukaryota, Metazoa, Chordata, Mammalia, Artiodactyla, Cervidae. The transcript has 3 exons.
UCUCCGUGGGAGCUUGCACAAGGCUCAGACUUUCCGACCUGUGCCUGUGGGGUGGUGUGAAGCUGAUGUUCCGAAAAACCAUCGAGACCGUCACCCAGGAGAGAGCAGGCGGGAAUCUCCUGGUCCUCUGCACCUGGGCUGGAGUCCAGUUCACAGGGCCCAGGCCUUGAUGUUCCCUCCCGCAGGCUGAGAGGCGUGCUCCCUGGCCCACAUUCUCGGCGUGUCUGUGUGUGUCAAAGCCCAGGGGCGCGGGCCCUCACUGCCGUGGGCUGCAGAAAGGGUCCCUCUGGGGAGAGACGGGGCCCACGGGAGUUUUAAAGGCCGAGCGACUUGGAUGAAAGCUGCCACUUCCACCCACGAUUGAUGACCAGGAGCUGAGGUACCUCACAGAGGAGGACAGGCCGGGGAAUUAAUGUGCCGGCAUCUUCAUUGACAAAGCAAAAAAAAGCAAACACACCCGCCAAGGGGGUGAGUCAUGCAGGGAGAUAGCAGGACAGAAGGAAAAGGCCAAGGAUGUAUUAUCCCAAAGUAGCCCCUAAUCCGGCUGCGUCCCCACCUCCCAGCCUGUCUUCUGCCCUCCACCUGGCUUAGCAAGCAAGGCCCCAAAGGAAAACUCCCAUUCUCCUCCUACUGGGAACUGUAGGCUUUCUCAGGAGACAUGGUUUCGAUCCCUGGUCCGGGAAGACCCCACAUGCCACGGAG